AAACCGUAGGUAGCGGAGUUGGCGAUGUUAUUACCAAUGACAUCGAGGUUGGUCGCUGCAGCGUUCAGACCGCUGACCGCUUG
RNAcentral lists this transfer RNA (83 nucleotides) under Citrobacter werkmanii. Its description in RNAcentral is "tRNA-Gly(acc)". Lineage: Bacteria; Pseudomonadati; Pseudomonadota; Gammaproteobacteria; Enterobacterales; Enterobacteriaceae. The record is from RNAcentral.